AGUUUGAUCAUGGCUCAGAGCGAACGCUGGCGGCGUGCUUAACACAUGCAAGUCGAGUGCGUAGCUUCCUGUAGCAAUACAGGGAGUGGGCGCACGGCGCACGGGUGCGUAACACGUGGGCAAUCUGCCCUCGGAUGGGGGAUAACUCGCCGAAAGGCGAGCUAAUACCGCAUGACAUUCCGAAGACUCCGGUCUUUGGACUCAAAGGCCGCAAGGCCGUCUGAGGAGGAGCCCGCGCCCGAUUAGCUAGUUGGUGAGGUAACGGCUCACCAAGGCUUUGAUCGGUAGCCGGUCUGAGAGGAUGGCCGGCCACACUGGAACUGAGACACGGUCCAGACUCCUACGGGAGGCAGCAGUGGGGAAUAUUGCGCAAUGGGCGAAAGCCUGACGCAGCGACGCCGCGUGGGGGAUGAAGCUUCUCGGAGUGUAAACCCCUUUCGACCCGGACGAAUGACCCGCAAGGGUUUGACGGUACGGGUAUAAGAAGCCCCGGCUAACUACGUGCCAGCAGCCGCGGUAGUCGGGCCCAAUCGCC
RNAcentral lists this ribosomal RNA (535 nucleotides) under uncultured bacterium. Its description in RNAcentral is "bacterial SSU rRNA". It matches the Rfam family "Bacterial small subunit ribosomal RNA", at positions 10 to 542 of the family's 1533-position model. The record is from RNAcentral.